GACGAACGCUGGCGGCGUGCUUAACACAUGCAAGUCGAACGGAAAGGCCCUGCUUUUGUGGGGUGCUCGAGUGGCGAACGGGUGAGUAACACGUGAGUAACCUGCCCUUGACUUUGGGAUAACUUCAGGAAACUGGGGCUAAUACCGGGUAGGAGCUCCUGCUGCAUGGUGGGGGUUGGAAAGUUUCGGCUGUUGGGGAUGGACUCGCGGCUUAUCAGCUUGUUGGUGGGGUAGUGGCUUACCAAGGCUUUGACGGGUAGCCGGCCUGAGAGGGUGACCGGCCACCUUGGGACUGAGAUACGGCCCAGACUCCUACCGGCGGCAGCAGUGGGGAAUAUUGCACAAUGGGCGGAAGCCUGAUGCAGCAACGCCGCGUGCGGGAUGACGGCUUUCGGGUUGUAAACCGCUUUCGCCUGUGACGAAGCGUGAGUGACGGUAAUGGGUAAAGAAGCACCGGCUAACUACGUG
Molecule: ribosomal RNA, 468 nt
Filed under: uncultured bacterium
Lineage: Bacteria
Description: partial 16S ribosomal RNA
Rfam family: Bacterial small subunit ribosomal RNA
Source: RNAcentral